This 460-nucleotide ribosomal RNA is filed under the name uncultured bacterium. RNAcentral's name for it is "partial 16S ribosomal RNA". It matches the Rfam family "Bacterial small subunit ribosomal RNA", at positions 338 to 795 of the family's 1533-position model. The record is from RNAcentral.
CCUACGGGUGGCAGCAGUGAGGAAUAUUGGUCAAUGGGCGCGAGCCUGAACCAGCCAAGUAGCGUGAAGGAUGACUGCCCUACGGGUUUUAAACUUCUUUUAUAAAGGAAUAAAGUGAGCCACGUGUGCCUUUUUGUAUGUACUUUAUGAAUAAGGAUCGGCUAAUUCCGUGCCAGCAGCCGCGGUAAUACGGAGGAUCCGAGCGUUAUCCGGGUUUAUUGGGUUUAAAGGGAGCGUGGCUGGGUUGUUAAGUCAGUUGUGAAAGUCUGCGGCUCAAACGUAAAAUUGCAAUUGAUACUGGCAGUCUUGAGUACAGAUGAGGUAGGAGGAAUUCGUGGUGUAGCGGUGAAAUGCUUAGAUAUCACGAAGAACUCCGAUUGCGAAGGCAGCUUACUAAACUGACACUGACGUUGAUGCUCGAAAGUGUGGGUAUCAAACAGGAUUAGAUACCCUAGUAGUC